This 407-nucleotide ribosomal RNA is filed under the name Verrucomicrobiota bacterium. Its description in RNAcentral is "Verrucomicrobia bacterium partial 16S ribosomal RNA". It matches the Rfam family "Bacterial small subunit ribosomal RNA", at positions 355 to 776 of the family's 1533-position model. Lineage: Bacteria; Pseudomonadati; Verrucomicrobiota. The record is from RNAcentral.
UGGGGAAUAUUGGGCAAUGGGCGAAAGCCUGACCCAGCAACGCCGCGUGAAGUAUGAAGGCCUUCGGGUUGUAAACUUCUUUGAUCAGGGAAGAAACAAAUGACGGUACCUGAAAAACAAGCCACGGCUAACUACGUGCCAGCAGCCGCGGUAAUACGUAGGUGGCGAGCGUUAUCCGGAUUCAUUGGGCGUAAAGGGCUUGUAGGCGGUUGGCCGCGUCUGCCGUGAAAUCCUCUGGCUUAACUGGGGGCGUGCGGUGGGUACGGGUUGACUUGAGUGCGGUAUGGGAGACUGGAAUUCCUGGUGUAGCGGUGGAAUGCGCAGAUAUCAGGAGGAACACCGGUGGCGAAGGCGGGUCUCUGGGCCGUUACUGACGCUGAGGAGCGAAAGCGUGGGGAGCGAACAGG